This 3527-nucleotide long non-coding RNA is filed under the name Gossypium barbadense (sea-island cotton). RNAcentral's name for it is "long non-coding RNA (GBAR_LNC014244)". The record is from RNAcentral. Lineage: Eukaryota; Viridiplantae; Streptophyta; Magnoliopsida; Malvales; Malvaceae.
CUGGAACAAUCAUCAAUCAGCAGCUAAGACACCCAUUUGCUGUAUUGGGUCAAAAUCUCCACAAUGCUAAUAACUUGGUGCAACCUCAGGUCAACAAGGUUAAGGAUGUCUCCGAUGAUGGUAAAUCACCUGCAAAGUGGAUUUUUACUAUAGUUACAUCUUUUUUCAGUUUAGCCAAAACUGUAUGUAUAUUCAGUCUUCUAUAAUUGUUCUCAUAAUAUAACAUUUUGCAUUCUUCUUUUCCUUUAUUCAUUUGCAGCUCAGAGUUAUAGAACUCAAGGAACAUUUCUCAAAAAGGAUGAUCCUAAGAUAACUGCUUUGAUGCAGCAAGCGGAGCUACUCAGCUCACUUGCAUUGAAGGUUAACACAGACGGUACAGAAGAGAGUCUGGAAAAUGCUUGGAAGGUGAGAUAUGAUUUUAGUUUCUAUCUUGUUUUUGUUUUAUCAUCAAUUCAACAUCCAAUAAUACUAUCAACAUGUUGCUUCUCUAUAGGUAAAGUGCUAAAACUUAAAUAUUGUGGGGUUGAUAGUUCAAUCUAUGCACUGUAUGUCCUUAACUUUCAUCCUAGUAAAUUUUAUAUUCAGGUCCUUCAAGAGUUUUUGAAUCAGAGUAAAGAAAAUGACACCUUCAGAUAUACAAUCUCUGAUAUUGAUUUUCAAAUUGAAGAUUUCAAAGACUUGCUUGAGGAUUUAAGGAGUAGUAAUGAGGGAAGUCAACAAUCUUGGAGGUAACAGAUAAAUCAGUUAAAGUUCAGAUUUAGUAAGGUUUCAUACUUACCACUAACUGAUGAUUAAUGUGUUGCAGGCAACCUGAUCUCUAUGAGGUGUCUCCUUCCAGUUCUGAAUACAGCACAGGGUCAACAAUUAUGCCUCAUCCAGCUGGGGAACGAGGAGAAAAGACUCGGGAUAAAAUAGAUGAACUGCACCCGGAUAUAUUGUCAAAUCAUAUUGGAGAGCAGAAUUGCAGUACCGAGGAGGAAGCAAGGGCUCUUUCCAGUGCAAACAAAAAUCAUGGUAAUGAAAUUCUAUAUCUGGUAUAAAGGCCAAGGAAUUCCUUGCUUAUAACCACGCGGUGGUUAAUUAAGAUAAAAUGAUGUUUCUGAAAAAAUGUGUCUAUGUUACCACAGGCGAGAUGAUAUCAUCGUCUGAUGACCAAACGAACAUUAUCGUUGCUUCUACCUCAUCAAGCGCAGAGUUCAGUUCCCCAGUCCAAGUUACCCCACUUUUCAGAUCUCUAGCAGCUGGAAUUCCCAGCCCAAAAUUUUCAGAAAGUGUAAGUUAUCUUCAACUGUAUGGUUUACCAAUAUAUCCAUUUAAUAGAAGUAGGAGCAGUAGCAUUAUUAGAAUUUGCAGUAGCAGGUAGUACCAAUUAUUAUCUUUCUCAAGACCAUGAUUCCAUAGGCAGUUUUAGUUGUGAGCUUACGAGUGUCUACUAAUAAAACUGCUUUGGAUUACUAGUUAUGGAUCCAUUUAUACCAGCAAUCACAGCAAGACAUUAAUUUGCUUUUGAGCCACUGUUAAUAGGUCUUUUGAACCAUUUCUAGGACUUAGAGCUUGUUAGUCAAUAAAUACUAGGGUUAACUAGUUGUCAAAGCUUCAGUAGCUUCAUGGUAAGUGAUUAUAACAUCUUUGAAAAUGAUAAUGCAGAAGCUGCUACUAGAUUCUUGUUCGACAGUCAUUGAUCUAGAACUGUUAGCAAGUCUUAGUAUUGCAUGAUUUAGUUGGAAAUUGGACCACUAAGCUAUUUUUCUUGAAAAGGCAUGCAUUUUAGUGCCUCAUUAUUUUCCAUCAGUUAGCUAGACUCUGCUUCUUCCUUACUUGUAUAUAGAGCUUUAUUUCCUGUCAAAUGCAAUCUAAGUUCUCCACGUCUAUGGAUACAGUAAAUUUUAUAAGAAUUUUCAUCAGCAGACUUACUCUAGAACUAAAAUUGCCAAAUUCAACCUAAGAGCAAGUUUAAAGCCAUAUGACUUUAGUUGUUUUUCACUUUUGAUGAACCUAAAAAUGCAAUGAAACCAAGUAAAGAUCCUGGCCAUUUACUUAGGAAGCUUUGUUGACAGUACUCCUUGAUAGUUAAAAGAAGAAGAGUUAAACUGAAUUAUAAUUGUAUGAAUUAUGAUUCAGUUCAAGUAAAGGAGAGUUGUGCAGUUGGAAAUUUACUUAAAAAAAAAAGGUUCUAGGAUAUUAUUCGUACACGUGUGGUAAUACUGGUUUGGUCCUUAGAGCAAGUGAAGUCCAAUACUGAGUGCACUUUCUUUACUUUUAUUGUUGUUUUCCUUUCUAUAAUCUAUCUACCAUAGACGUAAAAGCAUGCAGAAGCAUAUAAGAGUCUGAUCAAGUUUUUGUUUGAUUUUCAGGAAAGGAACUUCCUACUUAAGACACUUGGCAUGGAGUCCCCUUCUCCCAAUCCAGCAAAUAAUCUUUCACAACCACCACCUUGCAAACGAGCCCUCCUCCAUAGUCUAUAACAAACCUAUGAUCAUCUCUUAUACUGAAAAUCAUAUCAGUCUAUAGUCCCCAUAUUUCAUCAUUUAUUCCCUGGAGCCACAUAGCUCAUGUUGAGUUUUUGUCCCCUUUUUUUUUUCAAUUUGUCCAAGGAUUGCAGCCAUCUUGGCCUGGAAUUUUACAAGGCAUUUAAUGAUCUGCACUCCCAGCUCCCUUGCUUAGAAUGUUUUGGUGCAUUCUAGCUUCUCAGAUACAUCCAAUAAGAUGUCCUGAGUUUCAUUAAUUUUUCCCUCUAAUUUCCUAGAGAGUACUACCUUAAUACUCACAUUAAAAUCAGUGUGUGCUUUGUUAGUGUGUCGAUUCUUUUGUUUGUCAUCUCAUCCGAGCGGUUUCGGGUAUCUCUUCUCUCAUCAUUCAGAUCCAGUUUUUGUUCUUGAUUUGUAAUCUUGUACAGAACCUACUAUAUAAGAAAAAUCCUUAGAGUGUAAUUAAUACAUUGGCGAGUUGCCUACAUAUGAUAAAGAACAGAGGAAGAAGUAAAAAAAAAAAAAAAAAGAGAAACAGAAAAAACGAGGAUCAACACCUUGAUGUUUUUGGGUGUGCAGAGGGUAUAGAAUAAGUUUUUAUUUAUUUAUUUAGUGGAUUUCUAUUCUGAUUUCUAAUGUAAUCGAACUCGAUAUGAUUUGAGUGAAAGGUGUUUUGGCUUUGGUGUGACUUAAGCUCUUGGUUCUCUCGUAUUUGAAUUCAUGCAUCAUGAUAUCUAAAUAGAUAGAAUAUUUGCUACACAGGUGAAAACAUGAUGCAGCAGUUAUCAAAUGAAAGUAAACUAGUUAAUUAAAAGAGGAGAAAACGAGAAUGUAAAAUGUUACUUACAGAGAAUACAGAAGAACAUCCAUGUUAUCUCUCUGACCAACCAACCCUUUCUUUCACUUCUAAUCUUUCCAACCAAAACUGUGUAGUCUCAGAGGAGUUUUGAAAACUCUGUUAUUAAGAAAGAUGAUAAAUAGGGUGGAGGGUAGAAGUUAUAGUGGGGGACAACUAUAGUAUAAUCACGACGAAAGCAAAAGAGUAGGGUAAAAAGAAAG